This 69-nucleotide transfer RNA is filed under the name Holothuria edulis. Its description in RNAcentral is "tRNA-Glu". It matches the Rfam family "tRNA". From Rfam's summary of the family: Transfer RNA (tRNA) molecules are approximately 80 nucleotides in length. Their secondary structure includes four short double-helical elements and three loops (D, anti-codon, and T loops). The record is from RNAcentral. Lineage: Eukaryota; Metazoa; Echinodermata; Holothuroidea; Aspidochirotida; Holothuriidae.
GCUCCUCUAGUUUAUUCAAAAUAAGGGCUUUUCAAGCCCUAGAACUAAGUGAAAACCUUAGAAGAAGCA